This 468-nucleotide ribosomal RNA is filed under the name Triticum aestivum (bread wheat). Its description in RNAcentral is "partial small subunit ribosomal RNA". The record is from RNAcentral. Lineage: Eukaryota; Viridiplantae; Streptophyta; Magnoliopsida; Poales; Poaceae.
AUGUCUUCUUCUAGCUCCCACGCCACCUCGCGGAUCCAGAUUCCGGCAUGCGUGGAGAUGUCGACCUUCCUUUGUCCAUGGUACCGGGCGGAAGUUGAUUGGAGGGUUUUGCACACACCGAAGAACCAGAAUUUUCCUUCUACGUGUGCAGCGAGAAUGGGGGUGAAAUGUUUCUUUCUUUGGGUUGAUGCUCUGGCCAAGACACUAAUGAAUGAACUGCUAGAAGAGCACGAAGAAUGGUUGCCCAUUCUUCCACGAACGGCAGUAGCCGCAGCGCGAGCUCCGAAAGAAGAGACGGAGGGAGGAGCGCGCAAUGAUAGAGAGGUAGUUGUUGAGCUUAGGAGGUUGAACCAGAAGAUUAGGAAGCUUCAAGAUCAAGCACAAAUACCCAUUUUCUAUUACAUUUGGGCAUUUGUAGGCAUGGUAAUCACUAUGGGUGUAAUGUUGAAGUUGUAUGGAAAGGCAUGA